UGGGAUGUAGCUCAGUGGUAGAGCACUUGCCUAACAUGUGCAAGGCCCUGAGUUCCAUUCCCAGCACCACAG
This 72-nucleotide transfer RNA is filed under the name Urocitellus parryii (Arctic ground squirrel). Its description in RNAcentral is "Spermophilus parryii (Arctic ground squirrel) tRNA". It matches the Rfam family "tRNA". Rfam says of the family: Transfer RNA (tRNA) molecules are approximately 80 nucleotides in length. Their secondary structure includes four short double-helical elements and three loops (D, anti-codon, and T loops). The record is from Rfam by way of RNAcentral. Lineage: Eukaryota; Metazoa; Chordata; Mammalia; Rodentia; Sciuridae. RNAcentral also lists the same sequence under 2 other names.